UGGGGAAUAUUGGACAAUGGGGGGAACCCUGAUCCAGCCAUGCCGCGUGUGUGAAGAAGGUCUUAUGGUUGUAAAGCACUUUAAGCGAGGAGGAGGGUACUGGUAUUAAUACUACCAGGUACUGGACGUUACUCGCAGAAUAAGCACCGGCUAACUCUGUGCCAGCAGCCGCGGUAAUACAGAGGGUGCGAGCGUUAAUCGGAUUUACUGGGCGUAAUGCGUGCGUAGGCGGCUAAUUGAGUCGGAUGUGAAAUCCCCGAGCUUAACUUGGGAAUUGCAUUCGAUACUGGUUAGCUAGAGUGUGGGAGAGGAUGGUAGAAUUCCAGGUGUAGCGGUGAAAUGCGUAGAGAUCUGGAGGAAUACCGAUGGCGAAGGCAGCCAUCUGGCCUAACACUGACGCUGAGGUACGAAAGCAUGGGGAGCAAACAGG
RNAcentral lists this ribosomal RNA (430 nucleotides) under Pseudomonadota bacterium. RNAcentral describes it as "Proteobacteria bacterium partial 16S ribosomal RNA". It matches the Rfam family "Bacterial small subunit ribosomal RNA", at positions 355 to 776 of the family's 1533-position model. Lineage: Bacteria; Pseudomonadati; Pseudomonadota. The record is from RNAcentral.